RNAcentral lists this unclassified non-coding RNA (2947 nucleotides) under Leishmania donovani. RNAcentral's name for it is "gene:LdHU3.34.2560(CDS-product:Amastin_surface_gl ycoprotein_putative)". Lineage: Eukaryota; Euglenozoa; Kinetoplastea; Trypanosomatida; Trypanosomatidae. The record is from RNAcentral.
ACAUCGCGUCGCCACACCUCGACUCUCCCCCGCUCUCUCAUCUGCUUUCUCCCUGCUUCCUUCUCGUCCGCUGUGCUGCGUCGUCUGGCGCCUACCCCCACCCCUGCCGUUGCCUACUGUGCCCAUGUCUGCGUUACCUUUAUCCCCCCUAUAUGUUCAUAUUGGGCAGAAAAAGUACAAUGUGAGCCUCGUUCUGUACGUGGUCGUGCAGUUCGUGGCGUUCCUUCUGGUGCUCGUGGGCACGCCCCUGGACAUGUUCCGUAGUAAAAUGGAGACCGGUUACGGUACCGUAAAGUGCAUCACAUUAUGGGGUGUGAAGGAGAACUGCGCUUCCCUGGAUUACGACCUCACGAUGUACUUGUUUUUCAGCAGCUGCGAAACACGUAUUUUACGUUUUCGCAAAUCACAGCGGUGUGCCAUCAUCUCCAUUCUCGUGUACAUGGCUGGACUUAUCGCGGGUAUUGUCAACCUGCACGGCUACACUACCCUCCGCUGGGUCUGCCUGGCGCUGAACAUCGUUGGAAGCGUGACCGUGUUUGUUGUGUGGGCGGCCAUGGCGGUGACGUACAACAAGAAUGAGGACUCUCGUUGCACGCGGCUAAAAGCCUUGAAUUACGAGUUUGGUGUAGGGUUUUUUCUGCUCGUGGUAGCCUGGAUACUGGAUAUCAUCAACAUUAUCCUUCUACCGCUGUCUUUCACGUACACGUACGACAAAGAGCACCAAAUGACCGAGCUACCGACAUCAGAACAGUAUUAGAACAGAAAUAAGACCACACAGCGGAGGGCGGACUUGACAGCGGCGCGGCCCCUCCUCCGCACUGGCGUCCUCGUGGUGCACCUGGUGUCAGCGAGAAUGAGGGUGCACGAACUGCGGGCUCCCGUGUGUGCCCUUCGCCGACCCAGCGCUCUCGCCCCCGCUGCCGUCACCUCUCUCUUUUCGCGCUGCCUCGCAUUGCCCCCGCUGUGCGCGUGCAUUUCAUGACGAGUGUGGCUUUGCGCGUCUCCUCUUCCUCCUCCCCCACUCCCUCCCCCGAAGCGCCGUUGUGGUGCGCGCGCAUGCCUGCUGGGUCGUGUGUGGCAGCGCGGCGCGCAGGGGGAGGCGCCGCGUGCUGGUAUUCACGGCCGCGCUGCCCCCUGCGUGUGUCCUCCCACGCGCGGCUGCCGUCAGCGUUUCCGUUUCCUCGCGUUGUGUUGCCGCGCUCAUGCGCGCGCCGACACGCCGACGCAUGCGGCCUUCCGCCCACUGAUCCCCCUCCCCACACCCCACCCCUCCGCUGUGAGCUGCUCGCCUUCAGCAGCUGCUGGGACGAGCGCCCGUGACGGCCGCCCGGCGCAACCGUUGGCGGAGCGCGGAGGAGGAGGAAGUCGCGGGGUCCCGGCAGGGUCGCCGUGCGCCGGACCGUGUGCGCGGGAAAGGAAGAGAGCAGGCGUGUGGCGAAUGCCCCCCCCCGGCUCGGAGGGGCAUGCGGGCGCGACGCAGGAGAGAAGCCGACGCCGUGGCAGGGAUGGCGGGGAGGCGAAGAGCCGCACACGGCGUCGGGAGUCCGUCUGCCCUUCUUCAACUGCAUACCCCGCCGUCGCGGCCGCGCGUGUUUCUGGUGUCCCCCUCGCGCGCACGGUGGACUGUGUGGAUGGAGAAGGGUGAGAGGAUCGGUGCGAGGUGUCAGAGGAGGUGGUGGCGGGGGUGGGGAGUAGAGGGGUGGGCUAGCAGGCGCAUGCGCCCCUGCGACCCUCCUCCCCCUCGAUCCGUGAGCGGCCCCCGCGACCCUCCCUCCCUAACGCUGCCGUUGUUGUGGAGUGCCGCCCCACGCUCUCGCCUUACUCGACGCUCGUCUCUUUCGAGCUCGCUCAUGCUUGCUGUUCUGCUCUGCGCGCAGAGAGAGGUGCGUGGUGUGCGCGUGUGCUGGCGGAGGCGGCUGGCUGUGGCGACGACGCAGGCACGUGCAGCAGCCGUGCAGCACAGCAGGCGCGUACACGCAUACACACCUAUACACGCGGGAACGGGACUGCAGGCGAGGGGCAGGACCGGAGAAUGCGCGGCGGUACGAGCGAGUGCGACGGUGGAGCGGAGCAGAGGCGGCGCUGCUUUCCUGCUCGCUCCUCUGGCGUCUGGCUCGAGCCCGUCUGCGUGUGCGCCCCCUGUGUCGCUGUGUCUCCUCGCCUCUCUCCUGCGCGAUUUGUUUCGAUGGCUUCGUUGCUGACGCACCCCACCGAGUCCUCCAGGCUCCGCCGUGUGGAGUUGCCACGCCGUAUGUGACGGGUUGCAGCGCACCGACGCGACUGUGGGGAGAGAAGCACUGCAUCCAGGUCGACUACACUGCAGGGCCUCACAGGGCCCUGACCGGAGGCUGGGCAGCAUUCUCCCUCGGCUCGUGCGGCACGUAGAGCCACCGCUCCCCACGAACGCCCUGCUACCCUUUGCUACCCCCUCCCCACCGACAGAGGCCAGCGCCUCCGUCAUGGAGCACGACCCUGAGGGGGCGGCCCCGCUGGGAGCGCGGCGUGCCGUGCGCCCCGGUGCGUGUGGCGCCGAUGCAGCGGCAGGACGGCUCGUCCUCGACGACGCGGAUGUGGCCGCCGUGCCACAGGGCGUAGGCGGGCCGUGGCUGUACGCGCGCAUCUGCCGGCUUGUGCGUGGUGGCGUGGAGGCGGUGAGAAGGAAGUGCAUGCCUCGCGGACUCGGACAGACAUGCGAAUCAGCACACCUAAACAUAAGCAAAACGACGCGUGCAUAUAUGCACCGAUAUCUAUAUCUAUAUAUAUAUAUGGGUGUGUGGAUGUCUGUAACGACAAAACCGCCAAACGCCUGUUAUUACGCUGUGCUCGCCUGACAGGGCGGAGGGCGUGCGUGCGCUUUUUACUCCUCUCUUGCUUGUCCUGUGUUUCCUUUGCGGCACGCCUUCCUGCGCGCGUGCCUGCUCGUUAUCAUGCUUGCUUCCGUUGUCCG